GAGUUUGAUCCUGGCUCAGAACGAACGCUGGCGGCGUGCUUAACACAUGCAAGUCAGGGAGAAAGUCUCUUCGGGGAUGAUUAAACCGGCGCACGGGUGAGUAACACGUGAGUGACCUGCCUUUUAGACUGGAACAACUUACCGAAAGGUGAGCUAAUGCCGGAUGAGUUAUAUAAGUGCAUGUUUAUAUAGGAAAAGUUGGGGAGACCUGACGCUGAAAGAUGGACUCGCGUCCCAUUAGCUAGUUGGUAGGGUAAUGGCCUACCAAGGCGACGAUGGGUAGCCGGCCUGAGAGGGUGGCCGGCCACACUGGGACUGAGACACGGCCCAGACUCCUACGGGAGGCAGCAGUGGGGAAUUUUGCGCAAUGCUCGUAAGAGUGACGCAGCGACGCCGCGUGAAUGACGAAGGCCUUCGGGUCGUAAAGUUCUUUCGACAGGGAAGAAAAUGCCUAUAAGUAACUGUGUAUGUAUUGACGGUACCUGUAUAAGCAGCCCCGGCUAACUCCGUGCCAGCAGCCGCGGUAAUACGGAGGGGGCGAGCGUUGUUCGGAGUGACUGGGCGUAAAGAGCACGUAGGCGGUGUUGUAAGUCAUUAGUCAAAGACUAGAGCUCAACUUUAGUAAGGCUAGUGAUACUAUAAUACUAGAGUAUCAGAGAGGAUUGCAGAAUUCCUGGUGUAGCGGUGAAAUGCGUAGAUAUCAGGAGGAAUACCGUUAGCAAAGGCGGCAAUCUGGCUGGAAACUGACGCUGAGGUGCGAAAGCGUGGGUA
This 771-nucleotide ribosomal RNA is filed under the name uncultured bacterium. RNAcentral describes it as "bacterial SSU rRNA". It matches the Rfam family "Bacterial small subunit ribosomal RNA", at positions 9 to 767 of the family's 1533-position model. The record is from RNAcentral.